RNAcentral lists this ribosomal RNA (505 nucleotides) under uncultured bacterium. RNAcentral describes it as "partial 16S ribosomal RNA". It matches the Rfam family "Bacterial small subunit ribosomal RNA", at positions 28 to 507 of the family's 1533-position model. The record is from RNAcentral.
GACGAACGCUGGCGGCGUGCCUAAUACAUGCAAGUAGAACGCACAGUUUAUACCGUAGCUUGCUACACCAUAAACUGUGAGUUGCGAACGGGUGAGUAACGCGUAGGUAACCUGCCUGGUAGCGGGGGAUAACUAUUGGAAACGAUAGCUAAUACCGCAUAAUAUUGAUUAUUGCAUGAUAAUUGAUUGAAAGAUGCUAUUGCAUCACUACCAGAUGGACCUGCGUUGUAUUAGCUAGUAGGUGAGGUAACGGCUCACCUAGGCGACGAUACAUAGCCGACCUGAGAGGGUGAUCGGCCACACUGGGACUGAGACACGGCCCAGACUCCUACGGGAGGCAGCAGUAGGGAAUCUUCGGCAAUGGACGAAAGUCUGACCGAGCAACGCCGCGUGAGUGAAGAAGGGUUUCGGAUCGUAAAGCUCUGUUGUAAGAGAAGAACGGGUGUGAGAGUGGAAAGUUCACACCGUGACGGUAGCUUACCAGAAAGAGACGGCUAACUACGUG